RNAcentral lists this ribosomal RNA (637 nucleotides) under uncultured bacterium. RNAcentral describes it as "bacterial SSU rRNA". It matches the Rfam family "Bacterial small subunit ribosomal RNA", at positions 202 to 842 of the family's 1533-position model. The record is from RNAcentral.
UAAAGGUAUUCCGGUAGACGAUGGGGAUGCGUUCCAUUAGAUAGUAGGCGGGGUAACGGCCCACCUAGUCUUCGAUGGAUAGGGGUUCUGAGAGGAAGGUCCCCCACAUUGGAACUGAGACACGGUCCAAACUCCUACGGGAGGCAGCAGUGAGGAAUAUUGGUCAAUGGGCGAGAGCCUGAACCAGCCAAGUAGCGUGAAGGAUGACUGCCCUAUGGGUUGUAAACUUCUUUUAUAAAGGAAUAAAGUCGGGUAUGGAUACCCGUUCGCAUGUACUUUAUGAAUAAGGAUCGGCUAACUCCGUGCCAGCAGCCGCGGUAAUACGGAGGAUCCGAGCGUUAUCCGGAUUUAUUGGGUUUAAAGGGAGCGUAGAUGGAUGUUUAAGUCAGUUGUGAAAGUUUGCGGCUCAACCGUAAAAUUGCAGUUGAUACUGGAUAUCUUGAGUGCAGUUGAGGCAGGCGGAAUUCGUGGUGUAGCGGUGAAAUGCUUAGAUAUCACGAAGAACUCCGAUUGCGAAGGCAGCCUGCUAAGCUGCAACUGACAUUGAGGCUCGAAAGUGUGGGUAUCAAACAGGAUUAGAUACCCUGGUAGUCCACACGGUAAACGAUGAAUACUCGCUGUUUGCGAUAUACUGCAA